UUUACCCUGCGGUGUUCGAGAUUACCAGGUGUGAUUCCCGGACCGAUAUUGUGUUAGCUAAGGGGGCUUGGUUGUGUGGGGAAGAUGACAUGCCUUAAUUGGAAGUCAGACGCUCCUGCGAUGGUCACCCGCCCGUUACCGAAAGGGAACGGGAUAUCCGCCUAAACGGCACUAGUGGGGUAAUA
This 185-nucleotide non-coding RNA is filed under the name Verrucomicrobiota bacterium. RNAcentral's name for it is "6S RNA". It matches the Rfam family "6S / SsrS RNA". From Rfam's summary of the family: E. coli 6S RNA was the first non coding RNA to be sequenced, but its function was unknown until recently. It consists of 184 nucleotides that fold into an extended hairpin structure with a large single-stranded internal bulge. Lineage: Bacteria; Pseudomonadati; Verrucomicrobiota. The record is from RNAcentral.